UUUGAUCCUGGCUCAGAGCGAACGCUGGCGGCAGGCCUAACACAUGCAAGUCGAACGAACUCUUCGGAGUUAGUGGCGGACGGGUGAGUAACACGUGGGAACGUGCCUUUAGGUUCGGAAUAACUCAGGGAAACUUGUGCUAAUACCGAAUGUGCCCUUCGGGGGAAAGAUUUAUCGCCUUUAGAGCGGCCCGCGUCUGAUUAGCUAGUUGGUGAGGUAAAGGCUCACCAAGGCGACGAUCAGUAGCUGGUCUGAGAGGAUGAUCAGCCACAUUGGGACUGAGACACGGCCCAAACUCCUACGGGAGGCAGCAGUGGGGAAUCUUGCGCAAUGGGCGAAAGCCUGACGCAGCCAUGCCGCGUGAAUGAUGAAGGUCUUAGGAUUGUAAAAUUCUUUCACCGGGGACGAUAAUGACGGUACCCGGAGAAGAAGCCCCGGCUAACUUCGUGCCAGCAGCCGCGGUAAUACGAAGGGGGCUAGCGUUGCUCGGAAUUACUGGGCGUAAAGGGAGCGUAGGCGGACAUUUAAGUCAGGGGUGAAAUCCCGGGGCUCAACCUCGGAAUUGCCUUUGAUACUGGGUGUCUUGAGUAUGAGAGAGGUGUGUGGAACUCCGAGUGUAGAGGUGAAAUUCGUAGAUAUUCGGAAGAACACCAGUGGCGAAGGCGACACACUGGCUCAUUACUGACGCUGAGGCUCGAAAGCGUGGGGAGCAAACAGGAUUAGAUACCCUGGUAGUCCACGCCGUAAACGA
This 751-nucleotide ribosomal RNA is filed under the name uncultured Brevundimonas sp. Its description in RNAcentral is "bacterial SSU rRNA". It matches the Rfam family "Bacterial small subunit ribosomal RNA", at positions 12 to 809 of the family's 1533-position model. Lineage: Bacteria; Pseudomonadati; Pseudomonadota; Alphaproteobacteria; Caulobacterales; Caulobacteraceae. The record is from RNAcentral.